This 622-nucleotide ribosomal RNA is filed under the name Naganishia globosa. RNAcentral describes it as "eukaryotic LSU rRNA". It matches the Rfam family "Eukaryotic large subunit ribosomal RNA", at positions 45 to 657 of the family's 3401-position model. Lineage: Eukaryota; Fungi; Basidiomycota; Tremellomycetes; Filobasidiales; Filobasidiaceae. The record is from RNAcentral.
AAUAAGCGGAGGAAAAGAAACUAACAAGGAUUCCCCUAGUAACGGCGAGUGAAGCGGGAAGAGCUCAAAUUUGAAAUCUGGUAGCCUUCGGUUGCCCGAGUUGUAAUCUAGAGAAGUGUUUUCCGCGUUGGCCCAUGUACAAGUCCCUUGGAACAGGGCGUCAUAGAGGGUGAGAAUCCCGUCCUUGACAUGGACCCCCAAUGCUUUGUGAUACACUUUCAACGAGUCGAGUUGUUUGGGAAUGCAGCUCAAAAUGGGUGGUGAAUUCCAUCUAAAGCUAAAUAUUGGCGAGAGACCGAUAGCGAACAAGUACCGUGAGGGAAAGAUGAAAAGCACUUUGGAAAGAGAGUUAAACAGUACGUGAAAUUGUUGAAAGGGAAACGAUUGAAGUCAGUCAUGCUCUUUGGAUUAAGCCGUUCUGCGGUGUAUUUCAUUGAGCGGGGUCAACAUCAGUUUUGAUCGCUGGAAAAGGGCAGGAGGAAGGUAGCACUCUCGGGUGAACUUAUAGCCUCUUGUCGUAUACAGUGAUUGGGACUGAGGAACGCAGCAUGCCUUUUGGCCGGGAUUCGUCCACGUACAUGCUUAGGAUGUUGACAUAAUGGCUUUAAACGACCCGUCUUGA